This 18-nucleotide small RNA is filed under the name Arabidopsis thaliana (thale cress). RNAcentral's name for it is "ATSL185760". Lineage: Eukaryota; Viridiplantae; Streptophyta; Magnoliopsida; Brassicales; Brassicaceae. The record is from RNAcentral.
AAAAAGAAAGAAAGAAAA